This 24-nucleotide non-coding RNA is filed under the name Arabidopsis thaliana (thale cress). The record is from RNAcentral. Lineage: Eukaryota; Viridiplantae; Streptophyta; Magnoliopsida; Brassicales; Brassicaceae.
GGUGUGAUGGUGAUACUCGACUUC